CCAAUAGCGUAUAUUAAAGUUGUUGCAGUUAAAAAGCUCGUAGUUGAAUUUCGGGAUCAAUAUGUCGGUCGUGCCUUCGGUACGUACUGGCGUCAUUGAUUUCUCCCUUCUGACGAACCACGAUGUCAUUAAUUUGGUGUCAUGGGGAGUCAGGACUGUUACUUUGAAAAAAUUGGAGUGUUUAAAGCAGGCUCACGCUUGAAUACAUUAGCAUGGAAUAAUGAAAUAGGACGUUUGACCCUAUUUUGUUGGUUUCUAGGAUCAACGUAAUGAUUAAUAGGGAUAGUUGGGGGCAUUAGUAUUCAAUUGUCAGAGGUGAAAUUCUUGGAUUUAUUGAAGACUAACUACUGCGAAAGCAUUUGCCAAGGAUGUUUUCAUUAAUCAAGAACGAAAGUUAGGGGAUCGAAGACGAUCAGAUACCGUCGUAGUCUUAACCAUAAACUAUGCCGACUAGGGAUCGGAUGAUGUUAAUUUUUUAAUGACUCAUUCGGCGCCUUACG
Molecule: ribosomal RNA, 500 nt
Filed under: uncultured Glomeromycotina
Lineage: Eukaryota; Fungi; Glomeromycota
Description: partial small subunit ribosomal RNA
Rfam family: Eukaryotic small subunit ribosomal RNA
Source: RNAcentral